RNAcentral lists this ribosomal RNA (245 nucleotides) under uncultured bacterium. Its description in RNAcentral is "partial 16S ribosomal RNA". It matches the Rfam family "Bacterial small subunit ribosomal RNA", at positions 1247 to 1500 of the family's 1533-position model. The record is from RNAcentral.
CCGGCCGCUGGCAACAUCGGUCCAAUCCUUAAAGUCAUCCUCAGUUCGGACUGGGGUCUGCAACCCGACCCCACGAAGCUGGAUUCGCUAGUAAUCGCGCAUCAGCCAUGGCGCGGUGAAUACGUUCCCGGGCCUUGUACACACCGCCCGUCAAGCCAUGAAAGCCGGGGGCGCCUGAAGUCCGUGACCGCGAGGGUCGGCCUAGGGUGAAACCGGUGAUUGGGGCUAAGUCGUAACAAGGUAUC